UCCGUAGGUGAACCUGCGGAGGGAUCAUUGCCGAGUUGAGAAACUCCCACACCACCGCGAACGUACCCGACCGUUGCCUCGGCGGGCGGCUCCAGGGCGGAGCCUCCCGGCCCCCCGCGGGGGGGGUGCCCGCCGCUGGCCCCGCAAACCCACUGUCAUCGCCGUCAUUCGGACCCAAAAAAAACAAAUCAAAACUUUCAACAAUGGAUCUCUUGGCUCUGGCACCGAUGAAGAACGCAGCGAAAUGCGAUAAGUAAUGCGAAUUGCAGAAUCCAGCGAGUCAUCGAAUCUUUGAACGCACAUUGCGCCCGCCAGCACUCUGGCGGGCAUGCCUGUCCGAGCGUCACCAGCAGACCCGUCAAGCCCGGCUUGUGUUGGGGGACCGCGGCCGCCGCGGCCCCCGAAAUGCAGUGGCGAGGCCCCGCCGCGCCGAGCGCAGUAGACCCUGCCCGCUCCGGCGCGCGCGGGCGCCCCCCGCCGUAAAAACCCAACGCGCACAUGACCUCGGAUCAGGUAGGAAUACCCGCUGAACUUAAGCAUAUCAAUAAGCGGAGGA
RNAcentral lists this ribosomal RNA (556 nucleotides) under Sordariomycetes sp. 2 KB-2015. RNAcentral describes it as "eukaryotic LSU rRNA". The stretch from base 193 to 346 matches the Rfam family "5.8S ribosomal RNA". The record is from RNAcentral. Lineage: Eukaryota; Fungi; Ascomycota; Sordariomycetes.